RNAcentral lists this ribosomal RNA (412 nucleotides) under uncultured bacterium. Its description in RNAcentral is "bacterial SSU rRNA". It matches the Rfam family "Bacterial small subunit ribosomal RNA", at positions 82 to 475 of the family's 1533-position model. The record is from RNAcentral.
CGGGGCGGUGAAAGUGGCGCACGGGUGAGUAUACACGUGGAUAAUCUGCCCAGUGAUCCGGGAUAACCUUUCGAAAGGAGGGCUAAUACCGGGUAAGCCCACGGCGUCUUCGGACGACGCGGGAAUAGGUGGGGACCUUCGGGCCUACUGUCACUGGAUGAGUCCGCGGCCCAUUAGCUAGUUGGUGAGGUAAUGGCUCACCAAGGCUACGAUGGGUAGCUGGUCUGAGAGGAUGAUCAGCCACACUGGAACUGAGACACGGUCCAGACUCCUACGGGAGGCAGCAGUGGGGAAUUUUGCGCAAUGGGGGAAACCCUGACGCAGCAACGCCGCGUGAGUGAUGAAGGCCUUCGGGUCGUAAAGCUCUGUCAGAGGGGAAGAAACCCCCACCGGUUAAUACCCGGGGCUGCGG